RNAcentral lists this long non-coding RNA (321 nucleotides) under Anas platyrhynchos platyrhynchos (common mallard). Its description in RNAcentral is "lncRNA (ENSAPLG00000021582.1)". The record is from RNAcentral. Lineage: Eukaryota; Metazoa; Chordata; Aves; Anseriformes; Anatidae.
GACUAAUGCUAGCAUUCUAGUUCAGGGAGUUCACUUCCUAAAAUGUCUAUUUUCCAGUGCUUGUCACUGCAGCAUGAGAAAUGGGGCGAGCUUCUGAGGGACAAAACCACAUCUUUGGCACAAGGAAGAAUCACAGAGCAAAUAAUGUCUCCUGCCACUGCUCUAGAAUGGGAGUGCUCCAAAUUAUGUUUUGCAGAAGAAUGUGUGAGUCUGUGUGUUGUUCAUGCAGACAGUUUCAGCAUUCAGCUCCGUAUUUCAUGCAAAUGUCAAAAGCAUGAAUGCUGUGAAGACAGGAACCAUGCACUUCCACGGGGACACUGA